Molecule: ribosomal RNA, 451 nt
Filed under: uncultured bacterium
Lineage: Bacteria
Description: bacterial SSU rRNA
Rfam family: Bacterial small subunit ribosomal RNA
Source: RNAcentral
AACGAACGCUGGCGGCAUGCCUAACACAUGCAAGUCGAACGAGACCUUCGGGUCUAGUGGCGCACGGGUGCGUAACGCGUGGGAAUCUACCCUUGGGUUCGGAAUAACUCAGAGAAAUUUGAGCUAAUACCGGAUGAUGUCGCAAGACCAAAGAUUUAUCGCCCAAGGAUGAGCCCGCGUAGGAUUAGCUUGUUGGUGAGGUAAAAGCUCACCAAGGCGACGAUCCUUAGCUGGUCUGAGAGGAUGAUCAGCCACACUGGGACUGAGACACGGCCCAGACUCCUACGGGAGGCAGCAGUGGGGAAUAUUGGACAAUGGGCGAAAGCCUGAUCCAGCAAUGCCGCGUGAGUGAUGAAGGCCUUAGGGUUGUAAAAGCUCUUUUACCCGGGAUGAUAAUGACAGUACCGGGAGAAUAAGCCCCGGCUAACUCCGUGCCAGCAGCCGCGGUAAU